GACGAACGCUGGCGGCGUGCUUAACACAUGCAAGUCGUACGGUAAGGCCCUUUCGGGGGUACACGAGUGGCGAACGGGUGAGUAACACGUGAGUAACCUGCCCACAACUUUGGGAUAACGCUAGGAAACUGGUGCUAAUACUAGAUAUGUGCUCCUGCUGCAUGGUGGGGGUUGGAAAGCUCCGGCGGUUGUGGAUGGACUCGCGGCCUAUCAGCUUGUUGGUGGGGUAGUGGCCUACCAAGGCGGCGACGGGUAGCCGGCCUGAGAGGGUGACCGGCCACAUUGGGACUGAGAUACGGCCCAGACUCCUACGGGAGGCAGCAGUGGGGAAUAUUGCACAAUGGGCGCAAGCCUGAUGCAGCAACGCCGCGUGCGGGAUGACGGCCUUCGGGUUGUAAACCGCUUUCAGCAGGGACGAAGCUUUUUGUGACGGUACCUGCAGAAGAAGCACCGGCUAACUACGUG
Molecule: ribosomal RNA, 465 nt
Filed under: uncultured bacterium
Lineage: Bacteria
Description: partial 16S ribosomal RNA
Rfam family: Bacterial small subunit ribosomal RNA
Source: RNAcentral